UCUAAGGCUCUGAAAGAUACAACAAGUUUAUAAAUCAAGCUCUGGGCUGGUGCUUUUUGCCUAUGAAUUACGCUGCUACAGACAGCAGGCAGCAGAACCUCAGCUUCAAACAAGCGGCAGUGAUUUGCGCUCUAACACCCUUGGCCAGAUGCAUCUUGAAAGUUCUUUUUCUGUGACGGAAGUCGGUGAACCUCUCUUGUUUCUCGAGCCCGGUGAGCUGAGGUGAUAACUACUGCAGCAGCAAGAGAUCACAUCUUUCCUCCAAAGGGCUAUGGACCUAACAGAGCGGCAGCCUACUAGUUCCUCCAGCCAGAUGACGCCACCUGCCCAGCCCUGGGGGCUUCCUGAUGGCCCCCUUUUGUAGCCAUAUCCUUCCCAGAAAGAGAGCAGCCUUCAGCCUUGACUUCCUCUGUCCGGAGCUAGGGCUCUUCCUUCUGCCCAGGAUCUGGGAACCGGGACGCUAGGAUUCACACUCAAAGCCUGAACCCAGCUCUCCAACCUGUCCUCCCAGCAUGCACUGUCCUGGCUUUGUGUACAACCCAGGAAUCCAAGGGCAAGGGGCAGCUUUCCUGGAGGGCGUGGCCUGGCUUGGGUGUACAGGUGGGGCAUUUGCCCGUGCUCUGUGUGGAGUCCUAGGAGUCCGGCCGUCCUGCUUGCCCUUCUGGGCUGUAUCUGUGAGUGGAGGAGGAUAGAAAUAUUUCUGUUAAGCCGUCUGCCAGCUUUAUGGAUCACUCUAGAGACUUCGUGUGUGGCACGCAGCCCGUCCCUGACC
Long non-coding RNA from Chinchilla lanigera (long-tailed chinchilla), 772 nucleotides. RefSeq lists it as uncharacterized. The record is from RefSeq and is a predicted model, not a curated record. The transcript has 3 exons. Lineage: Eukaryota; Metazoa; Chordata; Mammalia; Rodentia; Chinchillidae.